UAUCUACUAAAUUCCCUGUCUGUGCUGGCCCACAGGAAAAAGAAAAGCACAUAAGGCUCCCAAUCCCUAACUUAGAAAUUCCCCAAUUCCCAGUCUUCCUCCUCCCGCCUCCUCGCCAUUGCCGGCCGCCGCCCUCCUCUGCAACCUCCUCGUUCCAGCGCCCCUAGCCUCCCAUCUUCUCCGACCUCCACCGCCGCAUGCAGCCAUAAACGUGUGCGGCCGCCGCCCAGCUCCCCCUCCAACAUCCAGCACUGCCUUCCGCCACUCCCAAAUCUUCAGACAUCCACCACCGCCUGCUCCUAGAUUCAUCCGCGAGCGCAGCCCACUCUCAUCUCCAGGGAUGAACACCGCUGUCGCCUCCCUACUCCCUUCUCUUAACCCCACCGCAGUCGCCAGACCCCACCUCCAUCCAAGAACGCCACCCCACUCCAUUCUCCUCCCACCACCACCUCUGUUCACGGCCACAACUCUGCUCGAUUUUCCUACCUGAAAGCUGCUGCUCCCUUGAGCAACCUGAAAGCUAUUUCUUGCCCCGUCAGUAGAUCUUGACAGCUACCACGACUCCUCUUCCUUCUAUCAGCGGAUUCGUUCUUGUGAAAGGAAGGAAUUAUAUUGCGCAAUUGCAUUCAAGCGCAAGGCACAACCAAUAAGAGUGGCUGUAGUGGUGCAAUCAGCAGCGAGAAAACACAAAAAUGUCUUGAUCCAUACUGCAAUGGUCUUAAGCAAGCACAUCCAAAGGAUUAGCAAGACAUUGAUUUGGGAUCCAUACUGCAAUGGCCGCCUAUCGAUUGCUACUGGUGCCGUCAAGAAAGCCAACAUUAUCUAUGCUGCAAGGCAACAAAUCUGAAGCCCUCAAGUUCUGUUGCUUACCGUAAUGUCAUCCAAGAGAAUAACAGUUACGUCAUACAAAUGACAUUCUAACAAAGAAAACAGAAAUGCAUGACCAAAUGUUCAGGAUGCUUGUUGCUGAGAUGGGAAGAGACCUGCUAGAAUGGUUGCAGCAAGGUCUAGCAAGGUCAAAACCAAGUUCUUAGCCAGGUCAGAAUACAUACCAACACAUAAAUGCUUUUCCAUGUUUGAACACUAAGAAACUAUAGAUUGCGGAAACACAAUAUUUGUCAUUUAAACACCUACUUGUGCUAGAGAACUUAUUGCUUAGGUGGCCUACUAGAUGUGUGUACAACCUGAUAGCUAUUUCAGUUUUGCUCACUAGUGCAUGAGCUGUACAUUAAGACCAUACUUAAUUCAUUGCAUGAUGCACAUGAGUUUGUAGAGGAAGACAUGCUUGGAGGAUACUGCUAUGGACGACCUUGUUGGCCAUGGCAACACUGGAGGUAGCAACGAUUGUGAGAACAUUGGUCGUGAUAGCUGCUUCCGGAGGAGGAUCUCAGUAGUGUACUUUCACUUCAACUACUUCUUCACAUUCUUGUGGUAUGUUAGAUCUUUUGUGGUGCUACUAUUUCUGUGACAAACUUAAUUAGGUUAAGUGAUGGAUGAGAAAUGGUGGAAGUUAUGUAUGUAGGUGAUGCUCCUGAUCGUAACCUGUAUGACUUUGAAGUUUAUGUAUUAUUUUGUUACAUUAAUUGCACUGUCAUGUGCAAUGUGUUGGAUGCAAACUAGAGUGGUGGUGGCAAUGUCUAUGUGCAACUGUUAUUACUUGCUUUUGGGCAAGUCUGUGUACAUGUAAAUCACCAACUUUUAGUGUAUUGUUACAUUGUUUUUUUAGACUCAGUUCUGGAUUUGUGUACUGGAAUAUGAUGUGCAUCGUU
Long non-coding RNA from Lolium perenne, 1769 nucleotides. RefSeq lists it as uncharacterized. The record is from RefSeq and is a predicted model, not a curated record. Lineage: Eukaryota; Viridiplantae; Streptophyta; Magnoliopsida; Poales; Poaceae.